RNAcentral lists this long non-coding RNA (509 nucleotides) under Zonotrichia albicollis (white-throated sparrow). RNAcentral describes it as "lncRNA (ENSZALG00000010646.1)". The record is from RNAcentral. Lineage: Eukaryota; Metazoa; Chordata; Aves; Passeriformes; Passerellidae.
GGUUAACAAAUGAACAAUCAAUGACCUGGUAUGAACCUGCACUGGACUUUGUUCAGAAGUGUUAAUGUUUGAUUGUUAUGUGUUGUGUAAUCUUCUGAAUAUUGUUUUCUCUUUAGUAUUUUAAUUAUAUAGUUGCGUUCCACCUGUGAUUCCGGAGGCCUUUGCAGCCAACAGGAAAUGUGUGCUGCUUAGAGAGCUUUGAACCUUGGUUAAGGUGAAGUACUAGUGCUAUGAACUGUGACAGCUGUUUAUGAGCAUCAGCUGUCCGGAGUUCCACAUCAUUGUGUAUUUGAAGAGGAAGGGAUGACUGGAUGCUGUGUUGCCUAAGCAUGGUGGCUUUACUUACAAGCAAGAUGUUUAUAAGCUGAUGGCCUCUUGGGUAUACACAGAAGUCUUUAUAUUAAAGAUUAGCACCAAACCAACCAAGAAAAAGACCCCCACACCAAGACCUGCAAAAAUCCUCAGUGGUUAGAGUGACUGCUUGCAUCCAUGGUGGUAAAGUGUUAGUU